AAACUCCCACCCAUGGCCCCCGAGAAACUGCACACAGCAGAGGUGAGGUCAGUACCUCCGACCAAGUAGGCGCAGGUUCUGCGAAAGUACCUGAUGUGUCUGUCUGUCUGGAUGCUCAUCAGUGAUUCCCCAAAACUCAGAUUUCUCUUCAAGAUGACAGUAGAAAUGUAGAAGCAGGAUAAAAUACUCAGAGGAUGAACUCAGUUGCACAUUGGUUUAGACUCCCUGUUAAGAGCUGACAUGCUGGGGGGAUCAAAAGUAAGUUAACACUUGUCAGUGCGCUAAACAGUUUGUUCUGGCAUUAUCACUUGCUAAUUGUCAUAUUAUUUGUCCGUACACACAACCAUAAACCUGCUUUUAUCCCAGCCCGUAUAAUGGAAUGUUUUAGUCGAUUCAGUUUUGUGCUCUGCCAUUAAACCUGCCCGUAAUAAACGUUUAUAAAUGUGGUAUAGCAUGAAACUUGAACAGACUUAGCUUCUAAAACAGUUUCAUAGAGAUGAUGAAUAAAAAACUUAGGGAAAAUUCAUGCUCUAUGGAUGCUUUAUUAAUAAUAAAAAAUCAUGAUUUAAAUUUUUAGAGGGAAAAACUAUGGCGUUAAGGGAGCCCAUAAAUUCUGUGGAAAUGGGUGGGGGGUGGGGUGGGCUGAGGUGGGGGAGUGGAAUCCCUGCCAAGUUUCAAGGUCAUAAAAGUAAUUGAAAUAAAAUACGAAGCUAUAUAUAGAACUACAUUUUCAUGGUAAUAUAGUUUAUGGUUCAAAUUGGGCAGUAAAGUAG
Phyllostomus discolor (pale spear-nosed bat) is the source of this 773-nucleotide long non-coding RNA. RefSeq lists it as uncharacterized. The transcript has 2 exons. The record is from RefSeq and is a predicted model, not a curated record. Lineage: Eukaryota; Metazoa; Chordata; Mammalia; Chiroptera; Phyllostomidae.